CCCGUUCUCCCCCGAGGAUUUGGCGUUGGCUUGCGAGGACUCAAAUUGAACAGAAAAGUGCCAAAAACAAGAUUCACCUUCAAAAUCCUUUCAUCAUCAUCAACAACUGAAGUUCCUUCUUCAGACCCACACCCAGGUUUUGAAGCAACGGACAACGCUUCUGUGCCAGCAGUUCGAGUUUUUAAGAGGGAAAAGAGGGUUAAAAAGACGGUGGAUGUUGUACAAGAGAUUCCCAAAGCAGAAAAUAAGGGCCUUAAGCCGUGUGGCCUACCUACCUGACAUAGAGGAAUUUGCAUACAAGAAGGUGGAUGGUCCUCUGUCUGGUAAGAUUUCCAUUGCAAUGCUAUGUUCCUAUGAGUAUGGCAUUUGAAAGUUUUUCCAGAAAAAGUUUAUUACAUUGACAACGUCUACGCAUGGAGUUAUGGCAUAUAUAUUAGGGAAUAAUUUCAGGAUGCUGUACGGGUUCACCAACCUGGGCAACGUGUAGAUUGCUAUCAUGCUGUAUUCAUAUUUCAGUCAUGAGCACAUAUGGACUCCCAUCCGAAAAACACAGACAAGCACAUAGAUGCACAAAAACAUGGGCAGUGGGAAGUCAAAGUCCACAUCUGAAGAGAUAAAUGUGGGAACUGGUAUUGCUUCCCCAGUUGGAAUAGGAGGUAAAUGGUGAAAAAUUGUGCAUGAGUAAUGCUAAUUGAAAUUGCAAGAGAAGAAGAGAGUUUGCCAAAGGUGUUUGUUGACUUUAAAGAGAACUUAUAACUGCAUGCCGAUUUGCUCUACCUUGUAAACCUUUUCCUCUUAUUAUCAAAGUUACCAAAGUUUGCAGUUGGUCUUUGCAUCUUAUUAUCAUGAUUUAAAUGUAGCCUAUUUAUAGACUUCUGCCUCUAGGAUGUGUUUGGAUUGUUAAGUAGAUUGUCUGUUGUUAAUGUAGAUGUCCAUAUAGAUUAUAGAAUGAUUAAUAAAUUUGAUGGACAAGACUUUCUCCUAGUGCAUUUCUUUUGAGUGUAUAAACUUCUGAAUUGCAGAUGCGUUUGCUAUUGAUGUGUUUGAAGUGAUACAGGCAAUGUACCUGCUAACUGGGAAAAAGUGCUUGAAGGAAUCUGUAGAAUAAGUCUGCAGAAGAUGCACCUGUAGACACUAUGGGAUGUGAGAAAGCUGGCAGUGUUCUUCUCCUAAGAAUGCGUGGAUAUAGAGAUUUAGUUGGUAUUUUGACUGUUCAUUUAUAACUUGAACAAAUCACAAGCUGAAGAGAAUGAAGUUGGGUGGAAUGUUUUAUUUGGAGUGACGUCUUGCUUAUUGUGGAAAUCGAGAACCAUACGGAUCUUUGAGAGCAAAACUGUAGUUAUUGAAGGGAGAUCGUCUUCAAUAUAUAGCAUGAUCUUAUCAAUCAAUUUUCAACAAGACCCCGAGAGGAAAUUCUAGUUAGCUGGACAGAGUCUUCCUCCGGUUGGAUGGCUCUCAACUCUGAUGGUGCUCAUCGAAAAACAACUGAGCAGGUAGCGAUCCCAGGAGUCUUGCGAGAUUCGAAUGGUCAGUGGAGAGGAGGCUAUGCGAUGAAACUCUGGAAGUGCACUACAUACCGAGCUGAACUUUGAGGUGUUUAUCAAGGACUCAAAUACACAUGGGAACAAGGAUUCAGGAAUAUUGAUAUUCAGGUAGAUAGCAAGUUAGUGGUUGGUACGAUAACUUCCCAACUUAAUCACCCUUGUUCAAAUUCAGAUUUAAUUCAAACCAUAAAGAAGUUUAAAGAUGGCUAAUAUGGUAUUAUCCAUUGAUGAGAAUUUUUAAUCUUUUUUCUAAUCCACCUGGUAGAGUUAGAAGCUUACUAUUAAAUGAUGUAAUUGGAGUUUGUUUUCCUCGAUUAAUCAGGCAAUAAAUUUUACUUUUUUAACAAAAAAUUUAAAGAACUAAUUUGAGGCUUGAAGCAGAAAUCGUCUACCCUAAAUGUUUGUCUUUUUCUUAUUCUGUUUAUAUUAUCAUAUCAU
This is an RNA transcript of Theobroma umbraticum, 1982 nucleotides long. It is a transcript of the gene named endonuclease III homolog 1, chloroplastic-like, with no coding region annotated. The record is from RefSeq and is a predicted model, not a curated record. NCBI's taxonomy places the organism in Eukaryota, Viridiplantae, Streptophyta, Magnoliopsida, Malvales, Malvaceae.